AUUGAACGCUGGCGGCAGGCCUAACACAUGCAAGUCGAGCGAGCGGCGGACGGGUGAGUAAUGUAUGGGGACUGCCCGAUAGAGGGGGAUCACUACUGGAAACGGUAGCUAAUACCGCAUACUAUCGGAUAACCCAUAGGGGCUUAGCUAGUAGGUGAGGUAAUGGCUCACCUAGGCGACGAACCCUAGCUGUGCUGCGCGGCUGAUCAGCCACACUGGGACUGAGACACGGCCCAGACUCCUACGGAGUCAGCAGUGGGGAAUAUUGCGCAAUGGGCGCAAGCCUGAGGCAGCCAUGCCGCGUGUAUGAAGAAGGCUCUAGGGUUGUAAAGUACUUUCGGUCGGGAGGCGUUACCGACAGAGGAAGCACCGGCUAACUCCGUGCCAGCAGCCGCGGUAAUAC
This 403-nucleotide ribosomal RNA is filed under the name uncultured bacterium. Its description in RNAcentral is "partial 16S ribosomal RNA". It matches the Rfam family "Bacterial small subunit ribosomal RNA", at positions 30 to 526 of the family's 1533-position model. The record is from RNAcentral.